CCUACGGGUGGCAGCAGUCGAGAAUCAUUCACAAUGGGGGAAACCCUGAUGGUGCGACGCCGCGUGGGGGAAUGAAGGUCUUCGGAUUGUAAACCCCUGUCAUGUGGGAGCAAAUUAAAAAGAUAGUACCACAAGAGGAAGAGACGGCUAACUCUGAGCCAGCAGCCGCGGUAAUACAGAGGUCUCAAGCGUUGUUCGGAAUCACUGGGCGUAAAGCGUGCGUAGGCUGUUUCGUAAGGCGUGUGUGAAAGGCGCGGGCUCAACCCGCGGACGGCACAUGAUACUGCGAGACUAGAGUAAGGGAGGGGGAACCGGAAUUCGCGGUGUAGCAGUGAAAUGCGUAGAUAUCGAGAGGAACACUCGUGGCGAAGGCGGGUUCCUGGACAUUAACUGACGCUGAGGCACGAAGGCCAGGGGAGCGAAAGGGAUUAGAUACCCUAGUAGUC
This 446-nucleotide ribosomal RNA is filed under the name uncultured bacterium. RNAcentral's name for it is "partial 16S ribosomal RNA". It matches the Rfam family "Bacterial small subunit ribosomal RNA", at positions 338 to 795 of the family's 1533-position model. The record is from RNAcentral.